AGUCGAACGGCAGCACGGGGGCAACCCUGGUGGCGAGUGGCGAACGGGUGAGUAAUACAUCGGAACGUGUCCUGGAGUGGGGGAUAGCCCGGCGAAAGCCGGAUUAAUACCGCAUACGCUCUACGGAGGAAAGCGGGGGAUCUUCGGACCUCGCGCUCAAGGGGCGGCCGAUGGCGGAUUAGCUAGUUGGUAGGGUAAAGGCCUACCAAGGCGACGAUCCGUAGCUGGUCUGAGAGGACGACCAGCCACACUGGGACUGAGACACGGCCCAGACUCCUACGGGAGGCAGCAGUGGGGAAUUUUGGACAAUGGGGGCAACCCUGAUCCAGCAAUGCCGCGUGUGUGAAGAAGGCCUUCGGGUUGUAAAGCACUUUUGUCCGGAAAGAAAUCCUCUGGGUUAAUACCCCGGGGGGAUGACGGUACCGGAAGAAUAAGCACCGGCUAACUACGUGCCAGCAGCCGCGGUAAUACGUAGGGUGCGAGCGUUAAUCGGAAUUACUGGGCGUAAAGCGUGCGCAGGCGGUCCGCUAAGACCGAUGUGAAAUCCCCGGGCUUAACCUGGGAACUGCAUUGGUGACUGGCGGGCUAGAGUGUGGCAGAGGGGGGUAGAAUUCCACGUGUAGCAGUGAAAUGCGUAAGAUGUGGAGAAUACCGAUGGCGAAGGCAGCCCCCUGGGCUAACACUGACGCUCAUGCACGAAAGCGUGGGGAGCAAACAGGAUUAAUCCCUGGUAGUCCACGCCCUAAACGAUGUCAACUAGUUGUUGGGGGAUUCAU
This 776-nucleotide ribosomal RNA is filed under the name Trinickia soli. RNAcentral describes it as "bacterial SSU rRNA". It matches the Rfam family "Bacterial small subunit ribosomal RNA", at positions 60 to 835 of the family's 1533-position model. Lineage: Bacteria; Pseudomonadati; Pseudomonadota; Betaproteobacteria; Burkholderiales; Burkholderiaceae. The record is from RNAcentral.